UGAAUAACUGUGUAUCCCUAUGGGCCA
Molecule: non-coding RNA, 27 nt
Filed under: Mus musculus (house mouse)
Lineage: Eukaryota; Metazoa; Chordata; Mammalia; Rodentia; Muridae
Source: RNAcentral